GAUGAACGCUGGCGGCGUGCCUAAUACAUGCAAGUCGAGCGAACGGACGAGAAGCUUGCUUCUCUGAUGUUAGCGGCGGACGGGUGAGUAACACGUGGAUAACCUACCUAUAAGACUGGGAUAACUUCGGGAAACCGGAGCUAAUACCGGAUAAUAUUUUGCACCGCAUGGUUCAAAAGUGAAAGACGGUCUUGCUGUCACUUAUAGAUGGAUCCGGGCUGCAUUGGCUAGUUGGUAAGGUAACGGCUUACCAAGGCAACGAUGCAUAGCCGACCGGAGAGGGGGGUCGGCCACACUGGAACUGAGACACGGUCCAGGCGCCUAAGGGAGGCAGCAGUAGGGAAUCUUCCGCAAUGGGCGAAAGCCUGACGGAGCAACGCCGCGUGAGUGAUGAAGGUCUUCGGAUCGUAAAACUCUGUUAUUAGGGAAGAACAGAUGUGUAAGUAACUGUGCACAUCUUGACGGUACCUAAUCAGAAAGCCACGGCUAACUACGUG
This 497-nucleotide ribosomal RNA is filed under the name uncultured bacterium. Its description in RNAcentral is "partial 16S ribosomal RNA". It matches the Rfam family "Bacterial small subunit ribosomal RNA", at positions 28 to 507 of the family's 1533-position model. The record is from RNAcentral.